AUGACCCACCCUCCUGCUUUGCUAAUAAGAUCCAGCCCAUCUUCAAGCUCCUCUGCCCAGAAAGGGAAACGUUAAAACAAAAACAGAGAAACAUCUAAGAAGGCACUUGCAAUUCCAGAGGCCAGAAGUCCCAAAUUAAGGUGUUGGCAGAGCCACAGUCUCUCUGAAGACUUUAGCAGAAGAUCCUUGCUUCCCCUUCACCUUCUGCCGUGAUUCUAAGGUUCCUGAGGCCUCCCAGUCAUGCUUCCUGUUAAGCCUGUGGAACUGUGAGUCAAUUAAACUUCUUUUCUUUGUAAAUUGCCCAGACUCAGGUAGCUAUUUACAGCGGUAUGAAAAUGGACUAAUACAACCACUGAUGUGAAGAAAAACUCCAGAACUAUCACAGAAAGGCAGGUGGCAAAGAGAAACACCUGCCCAAGCAUAGGUAUGGAAGGCAUCACACAUAAGGAAAUAUGAGGAAAAGUCAAUCCAGCACAGGGUAAGUGGGAUGCCAUUGCUCAAGUCCAGAAAAUUCAUGUCAUGAUAUUUGGGCACAGAGGCAAUGGAGGUCAGAGAAUACCUCAGAUGGUGGGGAAAUAGUUCAUGGAUGUAAAAAAAGGACGCCAAGUAUGGGACCCACAUUUGCCAUUUGAGAAGAAGUUUUUCAUUUAGGGAACGGGGUUUCAUUUCUAGCUUCACAGAACUCUGCAUGUCUGGGCCUCACCUCUGGAAAUUCUGGAGACAUUUCGGAAACUCCAUAGUGGGCUCUAAUGCGUAGCCAUAGUGGAACCCCUUUACCUUAGGGAGAAAGAAUUGAUGAUUAAAUUAAGCCAUAGACUUUUGAUGCAGAAUAUAAAUUGCUCUAUAGUAGACUAUAAGUGUCCCUGUAAUGUGUCUAUAGUAGCUGUUUAGUAAGCCUCAGAGAGCAACUGUAGUGUUUUUUUUGUUUGUUUGUUUGUUUUUUUGGAUUCUAUUAAUUCUUUAUUUCCCAAAGACCAAAUUAAAGAAUCUUUUCCGGAGGCCCAGAGGCCCUAAAAACAUGGUAGAUCCACUCAAUCAUCCUGUCGUAAUUUGCUGAUGGUAUAGACUAUCCUUUACUGAGUCAGGUGGAUCAAUAGUCAUACAACAGGGAUAUGGGCUUGCUGAGCAUGGCCAUCCAUUUGUUAUGUGUAUGCUGUAUGGUAUAUCCACCUGAUAGUGAUAACUUAAGCACACCCUGAGAAUGCCCUGUAUGGCAGAUGCACCUGAAUAUGUGUUUGGAGUUCUGAGCUAAGGAAUCCAGGAAUGGCCAAUCUGAAAAUUCAUUCCUUGUCUAUGAGGAACAUCUAAAUCCCUGGCCUGUCUUGUGGAUCAUGGGUAAUACAGGGCAGCAAGGCCAUUUGUUUUGGGUUAAAUGAAGGUUGCCAGGUAGAGAUUGUUGUGGGAAGAGUGCUAAGAGAAAAUGCUAUAUGAACUGCAUGUUUUUCUCUGGCCAGCCUGCCACCACUGGGCCAUCCCUGUAUGUAAGUUGCCUGCUAAUAAAACUCUAUGUCUCUGGGAACAGAAAAACAAAUAGACAAACAAACAAACAAACAAAAACCAACCCCCAAACCCCUAUGUCUUGUUUUCUGGCUCUGGUUUCUCCUUUGGCGUCAUAAACCUACUCCCAUCCCUACUGAUCUUAAUAGGGGUCUGGCAUGACAUAUGUAUGUGUAUGUGUACAUAUACAUAACUGAACAAAGUAGACAAAAAUGCCUGUCUUUAUGAAGCUUAUGUUCUAUUGGGAGAAGAUAGGCAGUAAACAAAUAAGUAGAAUUUAUUUUUUUAUCAGAUGGAAAUAAAGCAGACACACAGGAUGAACAGUGAUGGGGUGUAGAGGGUUACAAUUAUAUAAAGUGAUCAGGGAUUGCCUGAAGGGAACAACCCAUUCUAGUCUAAGUAAUUUGAGACAUGCUAUAUUAUGGACAUUGUGUUUUACAUCAAGAAGGAACCAAGACAGAUUCAAGAAGUUGCCUUCUCCUAUGUCCUCCCUCUCACCCAAGAAUCCUUGGGAAUCCAGAACCGGGCUGUCCAGUGUGAUAGCCACCAGUCCAUGUGCUACUUAAAUUUAAAUUAAUAAAAUUAAAUAAAACUUCAAAAUCAAUUUCUCAGUCAUACUACCUACACUUCAAGUGCUUAAAAGCCACAGGGCUAAUGUCUGCUAUAUUGGACAUCAAAGAGAACCUUUCCAUUGUUGCAGAAACUCCUGUUGAUUAGAGCUGCUCUUGAAUGAAGUGGGACAGUAUCUUAGACAAGGAAAAUGGCUUAACAAUGGGCACAAUGACCUAGGUUCAACUGCUGAUUAUAGGAGUUCCCUUCUUUAAGGAAAUACACGUGACUAAGAUUUAAUGAUACAUAACAUAGAAGAUAAGUAGCAACAUUUUAGAAAUAUUUCUUUUUCUAAAAGGAGUUAUUGUAGAGUUUAAAAAAUAAUGACGUUAAUCAGUACAUUUAAAUUCAACCUCACUCAGAGAAAUGUACACGCCGGGUUGUAAAUUGUAAAUAAUUGGUUUCUUGUGCAAAGGAAGGUAUCUUGUUAGCUAAGCAAUGAUUUUGUUUCUCAUUCAGUCACUCACCAGAGAAGAGAAUCUUUUCGCUCUGUUUUUAAAACUGAAGUUAGUUAGUUGUCAAUUCCACCUAGAAACAUGAAAAUAAAAACAAAAACACAGAAUAAAUUGAUACUGAGAAUGUAGUCCCAAGCUUCACAGAGGCUUGAAGACAACACUAAAUGAACACACGUUGAUAAUUUAUGAUUUAUUGUUAGUGGACUUAGGUGGGGGAUUGAAGUGGGGAGGAGAUAACAGGAAGUCUAAGAAGAGGGAGUGGCCUCUUCUAGGGUAUCUCUACUUAGUGUGAGAGAGAAGGCUGGUAGGAAUGCAUCUCAAGAAUUUCUGCCUCAUCUUUCUCCCUGCUGUGUCCUCCCAAUUUUGUGUUACCCCAAAAUUCAUAUCUUAAAAUCUUAACCCCCAAAGUGAUAGUAUUAGGAGGUGGGGCCUCUUGGGAUGUGAUUAAGUCAUGAGGGUGGAGCCUUGAUGAAUGGAAUUAGUGCCCUUAUGAAAAAGACCAAAGGGAGUUUGUUUGCUCUUUUCACCACAUAAGGAGGUAGUGAAAAGACAGCUCUCUAUGAGUCAGAAAGCCAGCCCUCACCAGACACGGAAUCUGCUGGCACCUUCCUCUUGGACUUUCCAGCCCUUCAGAACUGUGAGAAAUUUCUGUUGUUUAUAAGCUACCCCAUUAAUGAUAAUUUGUUAUAGCAGUGCAAACUGACUAAGCCACUCCCUUUCCUUCUGUUUUCCGUAUCUGCCAUCACCUUUGUCCCAUGCCUUUCUGUGUUCUCAUUCUUCUAGAAAACCACAUAAAACAUCCAGAAUUUCAAAUGGGCAUGCUGAGGAUUGGGAUGGUUCCAGGUGGAACACUUGUUGCUGUUUCCCUAGCUCAAGUGUAGGAUUUAUUGAGAACAGAAACUGCGAUGUUUUUAAUCAUAGCCAUAAUCUUUAUCAGGCUGAUAGUCCUAUAAUCUGUCUGCAUUUAAAAGAUAGCCUUUCCCCACAGGGCACAGGCGCUCAUGCCUGUAAUCCCAGCACUUUGGGAGGCUGAGGUAGGCAGGUUACCUGAGGUCAGGAGUUCGAGACCAGCCUGGCUAACAUGGUGAAACCCCGUUUCUACUAAAAAUACAAAAAAUUAGCUGGGUACGGUGGCACGUGCCUGUAAUCCCAGCUACUUGGGAGGCUGAGGCAGGAUAAUCGCUUGAACCCAGGAGGUAGAGGUUGCAGUGAGCCAAGAUCGUGCCAUUGCACUCUAGCUUGGGCAACAAGAGUGAAACUCCUUCUCAU
Long non-coding RNA from Pan troglodytes (chimpanzee), 3830 nucleotides. RefSeq lists it as uncharacterized. Lineage: Eukaryota; Metazoa; Chordata; Mammalia; Primates; Hominidae. The transcript is spliced from 3 exons. The record is from RefSeq and is a predicted model, not a curated record.